AUGACUGGGAUUGAUUACUUGCCAAAAAAUUUUUUUGGUUAUUGCUGAGCAUGCAGGGUAGGUCUGAAUGAAAAAGUGAGUGCUUCUGUUGCCGGAUUUUUUUUAGUACGUUCAUGAACCAUGGUCUGUUGCGAGGUUAGUCAUCUUAUUUUGGAAAAGCAACGAGAUUUCUUGUAUCGAGUUAUUUUAAAAACCUAAUUCAAAUUCCGUGCUGGCACGGACAAUUCCAGCGGUGCAGAAAGUUCAGGAGCUGGGCUUGAACUUUGCUUUAUUUAAAAAAACGGUAAAGUGCAGGCGAAUUGAUUGAACCUACAGUCGGAUACACUGCCUUUAUAAGGCAGCAGUGAGUAUUGUCACUAUGCCCUUAAGCAUUCAUGCUGUGCCCUUGUUUCAACAUUAUACUCAUUUUAACAGAUUACUGACAAGGUAUGUGCGACAGUUUUUUUUUUUUUGCUUGUAAAGUGAACUCUCGUGGCGAGCAGUCGUGCAGCUCGUUGCUUCUCUUUCUUGGCUGCCGCGCUUCGUGUCAGCCCUGCUUCUCGCGCCCACGGCUGUGGACGUGCGCGCACUGUGCUCUUAGGGGUACGACAAGCCAUGGGCACCUGUGGACUGGCUGCAUUUCCAUGGCGACUUCACCCUGAGGGGUCACAUCGCACCUCCUGCCCUCUGUAUGGGCAGCCACAUCGCGACAUUGCGAUCCUUCGCACCUGUCCACCACGGGCCCAGAAUCCACCUAGAGUUACCACCAUCUAGGCUGUUGCCUCCUUGCUGAUGCCCUUCUCCGUUGGGUCUACCUGAACCUACUGCCACGGACGUACUAGGCAACCUGCUGCUUCUCACCUCGCUCCUUAUUCUUACUCUUCCCUUCCCCCACAGUUCUGGAAAAUUUUCACCUUGGUUGCUUUGCAUCGGAGAAAUUGGUAGCUGCAGUGUUUAUGGUGGCAUAAGAAUGUGAUGGUUUCAACCAAACAUACACAAACUGCAGAUUAUGGCUGGUUUUGCGGGUGCUAGCCUGCCUAUGUGGUUGGAAGAUGCAUGAAACACACGAUUCAUUUGAAUCUGAUGGUGCAUUCCAACUGACUGAUGUCUUACUAGUAGUAGUACAAAAUUAUAGGCUGGCAGUAACUUCGCAAGCUAUAAACCACACUUUUUUAUUGUGCCUAAACCGCCAGUGUUGUAGACUGCCAGGAAAUUUUCAUAGAGAGUCGGGAAAAACCCAGAAAAAUCACGGAAUUUGAAAUUGCCAGCAUAGUAAAAUACCUUGUGAACAACUUUGAACAAUGGAUAAAGUGGUGAGACCAUUCCAUUGCCUCUCCAGGGAAAUACUUUAAAGGUGAAUAAAGUUUGAGAAUGAAGAAAUAUUUCAAGAAAAGAAUUCUAGUUACUUUUGGUUCCCUGCUCGUACUUGCUAACUGGUAUCCUUUUAUGCGUGGGAAGCUUGUGGUAGAGGUUUUAGAACAUACAAAACAUGUAAGUACUAAUUUAAGAGCAUCUGGAGAAACUGUGGCAUGCUGUUUAAGAGUGAGGUAAUGAAGAAUAGUACACACAACCCAUUUGGAGAAGCUUUUAUUUGCCAAGCCAAAGGAAGUUGCAUAGAAAUUUCAUAAUAGACCUUGGUCUGCUGAAGGAUAAAAAAAAAAAAAAAAUCAACCA
This is a long non-coding RNA of Dermacentor silvarum, 1653 nucleotides long. RefSeq lists it as uncharacterized. NCBI's taxonomy places the organism in Eukaryota, Metazoa, Arthropoda, Arachnida, Ixodida, Ixodidae. The record is from RefSeq and is a predicted model, not a curated record. The transcript has 2 exons.